This is a long non-coding RNA of Sarcophilus harrisii (Tasmanian devil), 2527 nucleotides long. The record is from Ensembl. NCBI's taxonomy places the organism in Eukaryota, Metazoa, Chordata, Mammalia, Dasyuromorphia, Dasyuridae.
UUUAAAAAGUAGAAAAGAAAUUGAUCAUAUACCUCCCAUAGCUACAGGUAGGAGAUGUCUUCUUAACCAAAUAAGGAACAGAGACAAUUUCAAAAGAUUAUUGUAUCUUUAUAAUUUUAUUGUAACUUUGAUUCCAUGAAAUUGAAAAACUUGUACAAAGACAAAAUUAAUGCAUCUAGAAUAAGAAUUGAAGUGGCUGAAUGAGAAAAAAAUAUUUUUUGUAUCAGAUAUCUUGGAUAAAGGUUUGGUAUUCAAGAUAUGUAAAAAGUAAAAAAUAUAUGUAGCUGGAAGCCAUUGUCCAUUAGAUAAGUAAUUAAAGGAUAUGGAUAAAUAGUUCUCAAAAGAAGUAAAAGAAUUUACAACCACAUUAAAGGCGGCUCCAAAUCACUAAUAGUGAGAAAAAUGUAAACCAAAACAAUGUUGACAUAUCUCACACUCUGUAAAUAGGCAAAAAUGACAACAGUGUUCAAAGGGCUUAUAGAAACAUUAAUACAUUGCUGAUGAAGAUAUGAAAUGGUACAACCAUUUUGGAAACUAAUUUGAAUUAUGCAAAUGAAGUGAGUAAAAUGUCAAUAUUUUUGAACCAGAGACUCCAUACCUAGCUUUAUAUCUCAAGGGAGCUCUUCAUAAGAAGAAAAUCCCUAUACACACUAAAAUAUUUAUAGUAGUACUUUUUAAAGUAACAAAAAAUUGGAAACAAAAGUAGAGUCCAUCAACUAGUGGAUGGCAACAUAAAUUGUGGUAUAUGUGAAUAUAAUGGAAUAUUAUUCCAUUGUAAGAAAUGAUAUGUACAAAAAAAGAUUAUAGCAGUUUUCUUUGCCACCACAAAGAGAACGACUAUAAACUUUUUUUUGUACAUAUCAUUUCUAUUUUAUUCAUGUAGCUAUUUAGAGAUAUAAAUUUUUCCCUAAUAACUGCUUUGGCUGCAUCCCAUCGGUUUUGGUACGUUGUCUCAUUAUUGUCAUUCUCUUGGCUGCAUCCCAUCGGUUUUGGUAUGUUGUCUCAUUAUUGUCAUUCUCUUGGAUGAAAUUAUGGAUUGUUUCUGUGAUUUGUUGUGUACGUGAUUGUGUAUAGGUGAAUAUAAUGGAAUAUUAUUCCAUUGUAAGAAAUGUUAUGUACAAAAAAAGUUUAUAGCAGUUCUCUUUGUGGUGGCAAAGAAUUGAUGGGCGUACCAUCAUCAACUGGGGAACGGCUGAACAAAUUGUAUUAUAUGAAUUUCUGCAAGAAAUGAUGAUCAGGCUGAUUUCAGAAAAACUUAAGACUUAGAUGAACUGAUGCCGAGUGAAGUGAGUAGAACCAGGAGAACAUUGUACAUAGAUAAUAACAGCAACAUUUUGCCAUGAUCAACUAUGAUAGAAUUCGCCCUUCUCAGCAACACAGUGAUCCAAGACAAUUCCAACAGACUUGGGAGAGCAAUGCCAUCUGCAUCCAGAGAGAGAACCAUGGAGACUUAACGAGGAUUGAAACAUAGUAUUUUCACUUUUUUUUCCUUUUUCAUGGUUUUCCCUUUUUAGUUUGAUUCUUCUUUCACAAUACAACUUAAUGUGGAAAUAUUUUUAAUAUAAUUGCACCGUAUAAUCUAUAACAGAUUGUUUGUCAUUUUGGAGAAGGGAGGAAGAAAAAUAGAAAUCAAAAUCUUAUCAAAGUAAACGUUGAAAACUAUCUUAAAAUGUCAUUGGAAAAGAAUACAAUUGAGUGGGGAGAAAAUGAUGAAAAAUAUGGGAAAUUCUCCACCAACCGAUGCAGAACGAAGUAAACAGUCAAGGAAACAAUAUGCACCGUGUAAAUGGAAAAGAACAAGCCCAUAUAAAAAAUCUAAAGUGAAUGCAACUAAACCAGACAAUUCAAAUGAGAGAACUCGGAGAGGACCCCUCUCACUUACCUCUUCAUGGAGGUCAUUUCACGGGCUCAUUUUUUGUUUUCCUCUUGUUUUAAAAACAUUACUUUUUAAUAAGGGAUGACUUUGGGAAGAGGUGAGGGAGGGGCAUCGGGGCAACUAUGAUGCAAAAAAAAAAAAAAAGAAGGGAUGAUGAAAACAUUUUUAAGAGCGUUCCUUUUUUGGAGAAUGGAAUGAACUUGCCGGGGUCCCCAGCUUUCCGGCCCUGGACGAGGCACGCCCGCGCAUUUCCCCUCUCUCAUCCCUAAAGAUGGCAUUCUGUGAGUUUCUCCGUCCGAAACGGGAGCUUGGAGGAUCCAGCCGCGAUGCUAUUCGGGAGACGGGAGUCACAGAGCAUCCGGUCUGGGGCCGAGCCCCCAAACUGAGGGGUGGGGGAGGGGGAAGGAACGGCCCCCUGUUGUGCCCGCGGCACUAACCAAGAGCUUCUCAGCCAUCCCCGCAGGCCGCGGGUCCGAGGACGUCCGCCCCCGUCCCUUCCCGUGCCUCAGUGUCCCCGUCAAUGCAGCAACGUCCCCAGGGCUCCUCGUUGUUCCAGCGCCGCAGGGGCCUGUGGGAAAACAGGGUCGGCCGCGCUCGGGUGGUCGGCCUUGUCCACCCUCUCCGCUCCCACUGGUCCACUCUGCCCUGGGC